Molecule: ribosomal RNA, 253 nt
Filed under: uncultured bacterium
Lineage: Bacteria
Description: partial 16S ribosomal RNA
Rfam family: Bacterial small subunit ribosomal RNA
Source: RNAcentral
UACGAAGGUGGCUAGCGUUAUUCGGAAUCAUUGGGCGUAAAGAGCGCGUAGGCGGAUUUCUUUGUCAGGGGUGAAAGCCCGGGGCUCAACCUCGGAACUGCCUUUGAUACUGCAAAUCUCGAGUCCGGAAGAGGUGAGUGGAAUUCCUAGUGUAGAGGUGAAAUUCGUAGAUAUUAGGAAGAACACCAGUGGCGAAGGCGGCUCACUGGUCCGGUACUGACGCUGAGGUGCGAAAGCGUGGGGAGCAAACAGG